Molecule: ribosomal RNA, 260 nt
Filed under: uncultured bacterium
Lineage: Bacteria
Description: partial 16S ribosomal RNA
Rfam family: Bacterial small subunit ribosomal RNA
Source: RNAcentral
GUCCACGCCGUAAACUAUGGGUGCUAGGUGUCGGCAAGCUUGCUUGUCGGUGCCGCAGCUAACGCGUGAAGCACCCCGCCUGGGGAGUACGGUCGCAAGAUUAAAACUCAAAGGAAUUGACGGGGCCCGCACAAGCGGUGUAGCAUGUGGUUCAAUUCGACGCAACGCGCAGAACCUUACCAGGGUUUGACAUCCCGUAACCGGUUCCGAAAGGGAUUUUCCCGCAAGGGAUACGGAGACAGGUGCUGCAUGGCUGUCGU